CCUACGGGUGGCAGCAGUAGGGAAUCUUUCACAAUGGGCGAAAGCCUGAUGGAGCAACGCCGCGUGCAGGAUGAAGGCCUUCGGGUUGUAAACUGCUUUUAUAAGAGAGAAAUAUGAUGGUAACUUAUGAAUAAGGAUCGGCUAACUACGUGACAGCAGCCGCGGUCAUACGUAGGAUCCGAGCAUUAUCCGGAGUGACUGGGUGUAAAGAGUUGCGUAGGUGGCAUAAUAAGUAGCUAGUGAAAUCUGGUGGCUCAACCAUUCAGACUAUUAGCUAAACUGUUAAGCUCGAGACCGUUAGGGGUAACUGGAAUUUCUAGUGUAGGAGUGAAAUCCGUAGAUAUUAGAAGGAACACCAAUAGCGUAGGCAGGUUGCUGGGACGGUUCUGACACUAAGGCACGAAAGCGUAGGGAGCAAACGGGAUUAGAUACCCCUGUAGUC
This 442-nucleotide ribosomal RNA is filed under the name uncultured bacterium. Its description in RNAcentral is "partial 16S ribosomal RNA". It matches the Rfam family "Bacterial small subunit ribosomal RNA", at positions 338 to 795 of the family's 1533-position model. The record is from RNAcentral.